CAUAAAUAUAUGCAUUAUGCACGCACACACACACACACACAUAUUCAGUUUUUGGAAAAAAAUGGUAUUUGUUAUGUUAUUCCCAUUUGAACAUAUGCGUGUAAAUACCGGCUAAAAUUCACAAAACUUCAACAACACACACACACACAAACACACACACACACACACAUAUAUACAAAGUUUUCCUUUUCAGUAUAUGUGUCUGUCUGUCUGUAUGUGUUUGUAUUUAUAUACACAGACCUGAGGGAUGAACAACAAAGUUGGUCCCUCUGAGAUUUGAAAUCAGAAUGGUAAAGUGGCGCCAAACUAAAUAAGUCAAGCUAGCAACUAAAUGAAAAACUACAAACUCUUUCAACAGAUGCUCAAGUUUCCAACCAUUUCAAGGCAAGGAGCACUAAGCGUUUCAUAUACUGCAUCCAGCCAUAAAAUUCACACAAAAACUGACAUUGGAGGAUGACGCAGUUCUCUAACCCAUUGGAUCCUGUUGAAUCAAUGAAUCCAUUCCGGCAUGGAAGAAAUACGUUAAAAGAUGAUGAUGGCAACAACAAUGACAAUGAUGAUGAUGAUGAUGAUGAUGAACUAGCAGCCAUAACCAAGCAAUUGACAACCCCCUCACCACUGAAGUAUCCUCUUUUCAUUAUAAAUUACUCGUCAGUUAAUUUGAACUGCAUUUAAAUAAAAUAUUACAAAAUUGUC
Long non-coding RNA from Octopus sinensis (East Asian common octopus), 696 nucleotides. RefSeq lists it as uncharacterized. NCBI's taxonomy places the organism in Eukaryota, Metazoa, Mollusca, Cephalopoda, Octopoda, Octopodidae. The transcript is spliced from 3 exons. The record is from RefSeq and is a predicted model, not a curated record.